UGUUUAGUUCUGGCUGUUGUACCUUGCCAUGCAACUCGACCUUGGCAGAUGGAGCAACUGCGGUAGCGUCGGUAGCCUCUUUGAGCUUGCUCGCGUGCUAUGCCGCUUUGUUCCUCAAUGGAACCAUUAUACGACAACUCCAGAUCCCGGUCCUAUUCUUAGGCUCCACCUUCAGGGCCGCCUGCCUGGCCGAAAGCUCGUCCUCAUGAUCGUCGGGCUAGAUCUUGCACGCGACCUGCUCCGCCUUGGUCUUGGCAAGGCGGUCCUCGCCCUCCCUUAGGAUCUUCUCCGCCUCAGCCUUCCAAUAUAUGAUCCCGACCCUGGCCUUGGCAAGGUCCUCCCGGUAUUUGGUGAGAUCCUUAUGCUUAUCGACAAACCAGACAUGUGAAUCGGCGAGGCGCUCAUGGAAAUCGUUC
Molecule: long non-coding RNA, 416 nt
Filed under: Hordeum vulgare
Lineage: Eukaryota; Viridiplantae; Streptophyta; Magnoliopsida; Poales; Poaceae
Description: long non-coding RNA (HVUL_LNC000938)
Source: RNAcentral